RNAcentral lists this ribosomal RNA (404 nucleotides) under uncultured bacterium. RNAcentral's name for it is "bacterial SSU rRNA". It matches the Rfam family "Bacterial small subunit ribosomal RNA", at positions 362 to 758 of the family's 1533-position model. The record is from RNAcentral.
UCUUCGGCAAUGGACGCAAGUCUGACCGAGCAACGCCGCGUGAGUGAAGAAGGUUUUCGGAUCGUAAAACUCUGUUGUAAGAGAAGAACGUUGAUGAGAGUGGAAAGUUCAUCAAGUGACGGUAUCUUACCAGAAAGCCACGGCUAACUACGUGCCAGCAGCCGCGGUAAUACGUAGGUGGCAAGCGUUGUCCGGAUUUAUUGGGCGUAAAGCGAGCGCAGGCGGUUGAUUAAGUUUGAUGUGAAAGCCCCCGGCUCAACCGGGGAGGGUCAUUGGAAACUGGUCAACUUGAGUGCAGAAGAGGAGAGUGGAAUUCCAUGUGUAGCGGUGAAAUGCGUAGAUAUAUGGAGGAACACCAGUGGCGAAGGCGGCUCUCUGGUCUGUAACUGACGCUAGGCUCGAAG